GACGAACGCUGGCGGCGUGCUUAACACAUGCAAGUCGAGCGGUAAGGCCCUUUCGGGGGUACGACGAGCGGCGAACGGGUGAGUAACACGUGGGUGACCUGCCCUCAGCUCUGGGAUAAGCCUCGGGAAACCGGGUCUAAUACCGGAUAUGACUCCAUGACGCAUGUUGUGGGGUGGAAAGCCUUGUGCGGCUGAGGAUGGGCCCGCGGCCUAUCAGCUUGUUGGUGGGGUGAUGGCCUACCAAGGCGACGACGGGUAGCCGGCCUGAGAGGGCGACCGGCCACACUGGGACUGAGACACGGCCCAGACUCCUACGGGA
RNAcentral lists this ribosomal RNA (319 nucleotides) under uncultured bacterium. RNAcentral describes it as "bacterial SSU rRNA". It matches the Rfam family "Bacterial small subunit ribosomal RNA", at positions 28 to 346 of the family's 1533-position model. The record is from RNAcentral.